This 301-nucleotide ribosomal RNA is filed under the name uncultured bacterium. RNAcentral's name for it is "partial 16S ribosomal RNA". It matches the Rfam family "Bacterial small subunit ribosomal RNA", at positions 509 to 807 of the family's 1533-position model. The record is from RNAcentral.
CAGUAGCCGCGGGAAUACGUAGGUGGCAAGCGUUGUCCGGAAUUAUUGGGCGUAAAGGGCUCGCAGGCGGUUUCUUAAGUCUGAUGUGAAAGCCCCCGGCUCAACCGGGGAGGGUCACUGGAAACUGGGAAACUUGAGUGCUGAAGAGGAGAGUGGAAUUCCACGUGUAGCGGUGAAAUGCGUAGAGAUGUGGAGGAACACCAGUGGCGAAGGCGACUCUCUGGUCUGUAACUGACGCUGAGGAGCGAAAGCGUGGGGAGCGAACAGGAUUAGAGACCCCUGUAGUCCCUGUCUCUUAUAC